UGUGCAAAUGACCCCAGAGCAGUUUUUCCAGUUUAAAGACUCCAGCAUAUUGGAGGGGGUGCCUUCCAGAAGUCUGGUGACCAAAAGAGGUAGGGUGAGUACCUGGAAAGGACUGGUGUCCUAUAGAGCAGGAGUGGUUCCCCGAGGAGACUGGAGCCUGGCCAGCAAAUCAAUUCUCAAUAGUAACUUGGUGGAUUUACCUAGAUUACUUGGAAAUGGAUUAUUUCAUAAACAGAUUAUUUCAUGAACAGACACUCCCCAGAUACUCCCAGAAAUGCUUUAGGGACUCUUUAGCAGGGAUUGACAAUCUGCCAGCCUGAGUAGGUGGGGGCAGAAGUCAGUGGAGUGUAUUCAUGCUUUUUUUUUUUUUUUUAAUUUUUAUUUAUUUAUUCAUGAUAGUCACACAGAGAGAGAGAGAGGCAGAGACACAGGCAGAGGGAGAAGCAGGCUCCAUGCAGGGAGCCCGACGUGGGAUUCGAUCCUGGGUCUCUAGGAUCGCGCCCUGGGCCAAAGGCAGGCGCUAAACUGCUGCGCCACUCAGGGAUCCCUGUAUUCAUGCUUUUAAUGUAACUGUGCUUUUAGCCACAGGUUGGGGAAAUUUGGGUUUUACUGUGUUUGGACUAUUUCACUUGUAUGUGUCAUCCUAGUAGAGCUCUGGUGCUUUACUAUAUGAGUUUUUCAUUGUUGCUAUACUAAGUCACUACAGAUUUAGUGGCUUAAACAGUUACAUAGGUUACAAGUCCAAUAUGGGUUUUAUUGAGUGAAGAUUGAGGGGUCAAUAGUGCUGUAUUCUUUCUGGAGACUGUCAGGGAGAGUCCCUUUCCUUAUCUUUUCCAUCGUCAUGAGGCCAACACAUUCCUUGAUUUGUAGCUCCUUCUUUCAUCUUCUGUGCCAGCAAUGUCAUCUCUCUCUCUGACCUCAGGGAAAAGUUCUCUGCUGUGAUUAGGUUGGGCCUACCUGGAUAAUAGAAUAAUCUCCCCAUCUCUAGAUUCCUAAACUUAAUCACAUCUACAAAAUGACUUCUGCCAUGUGAGGUAACUCAGUCAGUCACCAGUUCCAAGGAUUAGUAUGUGGACAUCUUUCUUGGGUGGGGGGGGAAGGGGCAUUUUUCUACCCACCAUAUUUUUUUUUUUUUUAAGAUUUAUUUAUUUAUUCAUGAGAAACACAGAGAGAGAGAGAGAGGCAGGCGCAGACACAGGCAGUGGGAGAAGCAGGCUCCAUGCAGGGAGCCGAUGCGGGACUCGAUCCCCAGUCUCCAGGAUCACGCCCUGGGCUGCAGGCGUCGCUAAACCACUGCGCCACCGGGGCUGCCCCUCUACCCACCAUAUUUAUGAUUUACUAAAUAUAUCCUAUUCUAAUUUCAUUUUUGUAACAUCCUUGAAUGGCAGUAUUAUUCUUGUAAGGUAGAUAACUUUUCUGAAGCACUUGUUAAGAAUAUAGUUCCUAUCAGUUGUUACCAUCUUAACCCAGGGUUCAGUCUUAGCAUUACUCGCUAAUAAGGACAACCAGAUAUAAAAUGUCUCUUGGGUGUUACAAAGUGAAGGAUAUGGCAUUAUCUUUUUUUUAUUAUUAUUUUUUUAAUUUAUUUAUUUAUGAUAGUCACAGAGAGAGAGAGAAAGAGAGGCAGAGACACAGGCAGAGGGAGAAGCAGGCUCCAUGCACCGGGAGCCCGAUGUGGGAUUCGAUCCUGGGUCUCCAGGAUCGCGCCCUGGGCCAAAGGCAGGCGCCAAACCGCUGCGCCACUCAGGGAUCCCCCGGAUAUGGCAUUAUCUAUAAAAAAUUUUUAAACAACUUAAGAUAUUAACAUACCAUAGAAUUUGCCCUUCUAAAGUCCAAAGUUCAAUGAUUUUUGUAUAUUUAUAUAGCUAUGUGACCAUCACCACAAUCUAAUUUUGAAGCAUUUGUGUCAUCGCCAAAAGAAAUCUAAUACCCAUUAACAUCACUGCCAAUUUCCCCCCUCCUCAGCCCCUGGAAGCUAUUAAUCAAUUUUAUGGUUUUUGGGACAUCUGGAAGGCUCAGUGGUUGAGUGUCUGCCUUUGGUUCAGGGUGUGACCCUGGGAUCCGGGAUGGAGUCCCACAUCGGGCUUCCUGCAUGGAGCCUACUUCUCCCUCUGCCUAUGUUUCUGCCUCUCUCUCUCUCUGUGUCUCUCAUAAAUAAAUAAAUAAAUAAAAUAUUUAAAAAAAUUUUUAUGGUUUUUUAAAAAAGAUUUUAUUUAUUUAUUUGAGAGAGAGAGAGAGAGAGAGAGAGAGAAGGAAGGGGCAGAGGGAGAGAAUCUCAAGUAGACUCUGCUGAGCACAGAGCCCAACACGGUGCUCUAUUUCACUACCCCAAGAUCAUGACCUGAGCCUAGAUCAAGGGUUGGAUGCUCAAUGGAUGGAGCCACCCAGGCCACCCCUUUUUUUGUUUGCUUGUUUUUCAAGCCCCAACACAGGUUGAACUUCUAAUGCUGAGAUCAAGACUUGAGCUGCAAUCAAGAGUUGGAUGCUUAACCAAUUGAGCUACCCAAGUGUCCCUCAAUAUUAUGUUUUUCUAGAUUUACCUAUUCUAGACAUCUCAUGGAAAUGGAGUCAUACAUAUGUGGUCACUUACUUAGUUUUAACUUAGCAUAAUGUUUUUAAGGCUCAUCUAUGUUAUAAUAUGAAUUAGGACUUCAUUCCUUUUUUUGGCCAAACAAUAUUCCAUUGUGUGAAUAGACUACAUUUUAUUUAUCCAUUCAUCAGUUGCUGAACAUUUGAGUUGUUUUACUUUUUGGCUAUUAUGAACUUAUAAAGUAUUCUUGCAACAAUGUUCAAUGCAGAGCCUGGUGGACAGAAUAAUGGUCUCCCACCAAUGUCUAUAUCCUAAUCCCUGCCACCUGUAAUAUGUUACCUUACAUGGCAAAAGGGACCUUGUACGUGUGAGUAAGGUUAAGGACCUAGAGAUGGGCCCCAUGUAAUCACAUAGUCCUUAAAAGAAAGGAGGAUUUUCCCUCUGAGGUCAGAGAUUCAAGACACCCCUGGGUGGCUCAGUUGCUUGAGCAUCUGCCUUUGGCUCAGGUCAUGAUCCCAGAGUCCCAGCAUCGAGCUCUGCACUGGGCUGUCUGCUCAACGGAGAGCCUGCUUCUCCCUUUUCCUCUGCUCCUCACCCUGCUUGUGCUGUCUCUCUCAAAUAAUCUUUUUUCUUUUAAAGAGAUGUGAGGACAGAAGAAAGUUCAGACAUGUGUGAUAUUGCUGUCAUUUGGGAUGGAGCAAGGAGGCCAUGAGCAAGGGAUGUGGGCAGUCUCUAGAAGGUGGGAAAGGCACAGGAGCAGAUUUUCCCCUGCAGCCUCCAGAACCUUCCCAACACCUCAAUUUUAGUCCGUUGAUUUUUGCUCUUAGACAAAGGGAACUGCCUUGUUUUUGGUAAUGCCCCCCUGCAUCCAGUGAGUAAUCAAUGUGGAAAGUCUAAAGGUCCUGCCCCCCAUCUUGAUCUAGGACAACCGUAAAGGGCCAUCUCAGCUCCAAAGUGCUGUAUGGGAUCACCUGAGGCCUCAACUUCCCUUUCUGCCUGAUCCUGCCUCCCUUAGUCCCUUCAAGGCACUGUUCCUGAGACCACUCUCCAGUAAAUCUCCUGCAUGCAAAUCUCUGCCUCUGAGUUUGUUUCCUGGGGAAUCCAACAUGAGACACUUGCACACAACAUCUUAUCCAAGGACGGGCAGCCAGCUGGGAACCAGCAAGAAAAAGAAUUUGGAAAAGGAAAAAGGUUAAGGGAGGACCUACUCUAAAUUCCAAAAUUGGUGAUGAAAUACUGGAGAGAACAUCAGCUGGGCAUUAGAAAACUUGGGUUCAAGUUCUAGCUUUGCCUUAAGGACUCUUGUCAAGACACCUGUAUCCCUGCCUCCGUUUUCUAAGAAGAGGGUGUUGGACUUACUCAUCUUCAAGAUUACCUCUGGCCCUACAGCUCCAGGUCUGUGGCCUGAAAGCCAGAGACAGGUUGGAUCUUCACCUUCAUCUCUCCCUAAUUUCCAGGCUCAGAACCGAGCCCCCUCCAGAAGCUCCCCAGGACUGAGGACAGGCAUGUCCUUCCUGAGUCAAAAUGGACUUCUGGGUUGCACAACUCUUGGCCUUUGGGACACUUAGUUCAAACUGUGAUAAUUUCUUAGAUGCUUGUCUAUCACCGUGCUUUCCAUAUGCACAAUUUUCUUCUUUGUUGAUAGUUAACUUUUUUAUGUUUAAAAAAAUAAAAUGUCAUGUAA
Molecule: long non-coding RNA, 4214 nt
Filed under: Canis lupus familiaris (dog)
Lineage: Eukaryota; Metazoa; Chordata; Mammalia; Carnivora; Canidae
Description: lncRNA (ENSCAFG00845019159.1)
Source: RNAcentral